This 429-nucleotide ribosomal RNA is filed under the name Chloroflexota bacterium. Its description in RNAcentral is "Chloroflexi bacterium partial 16S ribosomal RNA". It matches the Rfam family "Bacterial small subunit ribosomal RNA", at positions 355 to 776 of the family's 1533-position model. The record is from RNAcentral. Lineage: Bacteria; Bacillati; Chloroflexota.
UGGGGAAUAUUGCACAAUGGGCGCAAGCCUGAUGCAGCCAUGCCGCGUGUAUGAAGAAGGCCUUCGGGUUGUAAAGUACUUUCAGUCGGGAGGAAGGUGGUAAGGUUAAUAACCUUGGCAAUUGACGUUACCGACAGAAGAAGCACCGGCUAACUCCGUGCCAGCAGCCGCGGUAAUACGGAGGGUGCAAGCGUUAAUCGGAAUUACUGGGCGUAAAGCGCACGCAGGCGGUUGAUUGAGUCAGAUGUGAAAUCCCCGGGCUUAACCCGGGAAUUGCAUCUGAUACUGGUCAGCUAGAGUCUUGUAGAGGGGGGUAGAAUUCCAUGUGUAGCGAUGAAAUGCGUAGAGAUGUGGAGGAAUACCGGUGGCGAAGGCGGCCCCCUGGACAAAGACUGACGCUCAGGUGCGAAAGCGUGGGGAGCAAACAGG